RNAcentral lists this ribosomal RNA (198 nucleotides) under uncultured bacterium. Its description in RNAcentral is "partial 16S ribosomal RNA". It matches the Rfam family "Bacterial small subunit ribosomal RNA", at positions 328 to 539 of the family's 1533-position model. The record is from RNAcentral.
ACGCUCGACACCUACGGGAGGCAGCAGUGGGGAAUAUUGCACAAUGGGGGAAACCCUGAUGCAGCAACGCCGCGUGAAGGAAGACGGUUUUCGGAUUGUAAACUUCUGUUCUUAGUGAAGAUAGUGACGGUAGCUAAGGAGCAAGCCACGGCUAACUACGUCCCAGCAGCCGCGGUAAUCUGAGCGGGCUGGCAAGGC